Molecule: ribosomal RNA, 119 nt
Filed under: Salmo salar (Atlantic salmon)
Lineage: Eukaryota; Metazoa; Chordata; Actinopteri; Salmoniformes; Salmonidae
Source: RNAcentral
GCUUACGGCCAUACCAGCCUGGGUACGCCCGAUCUCGUCUGAUCUCGGAAGCUAAGCAGGGUCGGGCCUGGUUAGUACUUGGAUGGGAGACCGCCUGGGAAUACCAGGUGCUGUAAGAA